CUGACUGAAGGUCUUGCCACACUCAUUACACUUGUAAGGUGUCUCUCCAGUAUGAAGUCUACGAUGGCAUGUAAGGGAUGACAUGUGACUGAAGGUCUUGCCACACUCAUUACACUUGUAAGGUUUCUCUCCAGUAUGAAGUCUACGAUGGUAUGUAAGGGAUGAC
Molecule: long non-coding RNA, 166 nt
Organism: Cebus imitator (Panamanian white-faced capuchin)
Lineage: Eukaryota; Metazoa; Chordata; Mammalia; Primates; Cebidae
Exons: 3
Source: RefSeq, a predicted model, not a curated record